AUUGAACGCUGGCGGCAGGCCUAAUACAUGCAAGUCGAGCGGAUGAAGGGAGCUUGCUCCUGGAUUCAGCGGUGGACGGGUGAGUAAUGCCUAGGAAUCUGCCUGGUAGUGGGGGAUAACGUCCGGAAACGGGCGCUAAUACCGCAUACGUCCUGAGGGAGAAAGUGGGGGAUCUUCGGACCUCACGCUAUCAGAUGAGCCUAGGUCGGAUUAGCUAGUUGGUGGGGUAAAGGCCUACCAAGGCGACGAUCCGUAACUGGUCUGAGAGGAUGAUCAGUCACACUGGAACUGAGACACGGUCCAGACUCCUACGGGAGGCAGCAGUGGGGAAUAUUGGGCAAUGGGCGAAAGCCUGAUCCAGCCAUGCCGCGUGUGUGAAGAAGGUCUUCGGAUUGUAAAGCACUUUAAGUUGGGAAGAAGGGCAGUAAGUUAAUACCUUGCUGUUUUGACGUUACCAACAGAAUAAGCACCGGCUAACUUCGUG
This 484-nucleotide ribosomal RNA is filed under the name uncultured bacterium. RNAcentral's name for it is "partial 16S ribosomal RNA". It matches the Rfam family "Bacterial small subunit ribosomal RNA", at positions 30 to 507 of the family's 1533-position model. The record is from RNAcentral.